This 497-nucleotide ribosomal RNA is filed under the name uncultured bacterium. Its description in RNAcentral is "partial 16S ribosomal RNA". It matches the Rfam family "Bacterial small subunit ribosomal RNA", at positions 28 to 507 of the family's 1533-position model. The record is from RNAcentral.
GAUGAACGCUGGCGGCGUGCCUAAUACAUGCAAGUCGAGCGAACGGACGAGAAGCUUGCUUUUCUGAUGUUAGCGGCGGACGGGUGAGUAACACGUGGAUAACCUACCUAUAAGACCGGGAUAACUUCGGGAAACCGGAGCCAAUACCGGAUAAUAUUUUGAACCGCAUGGUUCAAAAGUGAAAGACGGUCUUGCUGUCACUUAUAGAUGGAUCCGCGCUGCAUUAGCUAGUUGGUAAGGUAACGGCUUACCAAGGCAACGAUGCAUAGCCGACCUGAGAGGGUGAUCGGCCACACUGGAACUGAGACACGGUCCAGACUCCUACGGGAGGCAGCAGUAGGGAAUCUUCCGCAAUGGGCGAAAGCCUGACGGAGCAACGCCGCGUGAGUGAUGAAGGUCUUCGGAUCGUAAAACUCUGUUAUUAGGGAAGAACAUAUGUGUAAGUAACUGUGCACAUCUUGACGGUACCUAAUCAGAAAGCCACGGCUAACUACGUG